UACGUAGGGCGCAAGCGUUGUCCGGAAUUAUUGGGCGUAAAGAGCUCGUAGGUGGUUUGUCGCGUUGUUCGUGAAAACCGGGGGCUUAACCCUCGGCGUGCGGGCGAUACGGGCAGACUUGAGUACUGCAGGGGAGACUGGAAUUCCUGGUGUAGCGGUGGAAUGCGCAGAUAUCAGGAGGAACACCGGUGGCGAGGGCGGGUCUCUGGGCAGUAACUGACGCUGAGGAGCGAAAGCGUGGGGAGCGAACAGG
This 253-nucleotide ribosomal RNA is filed under the name uncultured bacterium. RNAcentral describes it as "partial 16S ribosomal RNA". It matches the Rfam family "Bacterial small subunit ribosomal RNA", at positions 524 to 776 of the family's 1533-position model. The record is from RNAcentral.